ACCCCAGGUCAGGUGGGGAUACCCGCUGAGUUUAAGCAUAUAAAUAAGCGGAGGAGAAGAAACUUACAAGGAUUCCCUUAGUAACGGGCGCUUAACCGGAUCAGCCCAGCUUGAGAAUCGGGCGGCCGCGCCGCCUGAAUUGUAGUCCGAGAAGCGCCCUCAGCGACGGACCGGGCCCAAGUCCCCGGAAAGGGGCGCCGGGAGGGUGAGAGCCCCGUCCCGCUCGGACCCCUGUCGCACCACGAGGCGCUGUCGACGAAGUCGGGUUGUUUGGGAAUGCAGCCCCAAUCGGGCGGUAAAUUCCGGCCCAAGGCUAAAUAUGGGCGAGAGACCGAUAAUGUAACAAGUACCGCGAGGGAAAGAUGAAAAGGACUUUGAAAAGAGAGUCAAAGAGUGCUUGAAAUUGCCGGAGGGAAGCGGAUGGGGCCGGCGAUGCACCUUGGUCGGAUGCGAACGGCGGUUAGCCGGUCCGCCGCCGCCGGCUCGGGUGCGGAUCGAUGCGGGUUGCAUCGACGGCCGGGCCCGGACGGAUCGCUCGCUCGAGGGGAUACCGCCGAUGCGCGGUCGAGGACAUGACGCGCCAUCGGCGCGUUCCGCGGGGUACAUGUGCGACCCAGGGCAUCGCCAGUGGGCUCCAUCCCAACCCGCCUUGAAACACGGACCAAGGAGUCCGACAUGCGGCGAAGUCGACGGGCGCGGAAACCCGAAGGCACAAGGAAGUUAACGGGCGGAACCUCUCGAGGGGUUGCACCACCGCCAACCCCCGAUCUUUUCGUGGAAGGGUUCGAGUUGGAGCAUGCAUGUCGGGACCCAAAAAGAUGGUGAACUAUGCCCGAAGCGAGGCGGCCGAGGAAACUCGGUGGAGGCCCGGCGACACCGACGCGGCAAAUCGCUCGUCCGACUUGGGUAUAGGGGCGAAGACUAAUCGAACCAUCUAGUAGCUGGUUCCUCCAAGUUUCCCUCAGAUAGCUGGAGCCCACGCGGCGAAGUUCUAUCGGGUAAAGCCAAUGAUUAGAGGCAUCGGGGCGAACGCCUCGACCUAUUCUCAAACUUUAAAUAGGUAGGACGGCGCUGCGCUUUCGCGUUGAGCCGCGCCGCUGAAUCGAGCUCCAAGUGGGCCAUUUUGGUAAGCAGAACCGGGCGAUGCGGGAUGAACCGAAGCCGGGUUACGGUGCCCAAUCUGGCUAACCCGCACACCACAAAGGGUGUUGGUCGAUUAAGACAGCAGGACGGUGGUCAUGGAAGUCGAAAUCCGCUAAGGAGUGUGUAACAACUCACCGCCAAUCAACUAGCCCCGAAAAUGGAUGGCGCUGAAAGCCGCCGACCACACCCCCGCCAUCGGGGCGAGCCAAGCCCCGAUGAGUAGGAGGGGGCGGGCGGUCGCCAAGAAAACCAGGGCGAGCCCGGCGGAGCGGCCGCCGGUGCAGAUCUUGGUGGUAGUAGCAAAAUAUUCAAAUGAGAACUUUGAAGGGGCGGGGAAGGCCGAAGAGGGGUUAAAAAGGUUCCAGUUUGAUGAACAAGAGGGCACUGCUUUGCACAUGGGUUAGCCGAAUCUAUAAUCCAAAUCACACCGGUCAAAAAAUAAAUAAAUAAAUAUAUAUAUAUAUAUAUAUAUAUGAUAAGAUCAUAAAUUCAUCAGGUGUCGACGAUGGGUCUCGUCUCUCCAUCCCUCUCGUUAUUUCACUCCAUCCGUUCGUUUAGUCGACGAUUUAAUUGGGCGGCUGAGAUGUGGAUGAUGAUAGGGAGAAAUCGGAUCUUCCGAAUUAAAUAGGUCCCGAUUGAUCCCUUGAUGACGAGAUUGGAUCCACCGCAGCCGGCGCUCUCCUCUUUUGGCUCAUCUCUUUCACCCUUUUUUCGCCCGCGGAGGAGCGUUUUGCCAGCGAUCGCGUGCGGAUGGUGCGGGCGGAGGAGGCGGCGCGGUUGGAUCGGCUCGAGAGCCAGGUCGAGAACGGCGGCGGAGGAGCGGAGGAGUACCUCUGCCUCGUCCGCAAGCUAAAGGCCCGGCGAUCCGACAAGGUCCUCAAACACGGCCUCUCGAUCUUGAACGACCCCAAGGCCCGAUCCAAGCUCGGAGGAGAAGGUUGGUUGAAUUUCUUGAUUUGGUUAUUUUUUCGUGUCCGGACACGAGGGAGGCCUUCUUUCCCUUAAACGAGAUCGAUCUCAUGAGAAUUCGUUCAGUUCUAUUGAGAUCUUCUCGUACUUGCUAAUGGAGUGACCAUGUGGGUGUCACGGCUUGAUCAUGAGGUUCCAAUAUCAUUUCGUUUAGACCAACUGCAGAGUUAUUGGUGCACCUCAGUAUAUCAAUCGAAGUAUACUGUUGCUUGUCUGUUAAACAGGUCUUUAUGAGUAAAGAUCAGAGUUCCACUAGGUCAAAUAUGUACGGAAAAGUGGCAAUUUGGCUCUUCAACUCACGAUAGUAGAUCCAGUCAACCAACUGAAAAAAAAAAGAGACUACGGGACAAUUGAAUGCUAAAGAUGCAACCUAUGGAAAACUGAGGAUUUUAUCACAAUCAGAUAUGCAGUCUUUAAGGGGAGAUUAAUUUAAUAGCACAAUUCUUCUAAUCAGCGCUUGGUUAUUUUGACAUCAGAGAACAAUUCCUAUUACUGUCAUGAAACAAGUCUUAUAAGCAAGUUAAUUAUUAAUGUUGUAAUCUUUUUGCCAAGGAAAAUGGCCGUUAACCAGAUACCUUAUUAAGUAUCGAGAGUAAUGAAUCAAUUUAUGGAACUAAUCAAGUUGUGCUGAUUAGCCGGUAAAACCAAAGAUCUGAACUAUGGAGCCUGCCAAGUUUAGGUCAUAAAGGAAAAGAUAAGCUUAAACAUUUUGAACCAUGUAUUAAGCAUCAUCAUCCCAUCCCAUCCCAUCCCAUCCCAGAUAUUGAGCUAAGAGA
Molecule: ribosomal RNA, 2888 nt
Filed under: Musa schizocarpa
Lineage: Eukaryota; Viridiplantae; Streptophyta; Magnoliopsida; Zingiberales; Musaceae
Description: eukaryotic LSU rRNA
Rfam family: Eukaryotic large subunit ribosomal RNA (bases 1-1702)
Source: RNAcentral